Non-coding RNA from Lepus europaeus (European hare), 1244 nucleotides. NCBI's taxonomy places the organism in Eukaryota, Metazoa, Chordata, Mammalia, Lagomorpha, Leporidae. The record is from the annotation of a RefSeq genome assembly.
AUGUCUAGGCCGUGGGUGCAGGCUCUCACGGAGCCUGCCUUUCCUGCCAGCCCUCAUGCGGCUGACUCUGAGAGGGUCCCAGGCCUGGCCAGGCACCGGUUUUUGCCGGGGGUCCUGGCACGGUCGUCACAGUGUGACAAUCGGUUGGAUCCCUGGGGCCAGGGCACCCUGGUCACCGUCUCCUCAGGGCAACCUAAGGCUCCAUCAGUCUUCCCACUGGCCCCCUGCUGCGGGGACACACCCAGCUCCACAGUGACCCUGGGCUGCCUGGUCAAAGGCUACCUCCCCGAGCCAGUGACCGUGACUUGGAACUCGGGCACCCUCACCAGUGGGGUACGCACCUUCCCGUCUGUCCGGCAGUCCUCAGGCCUCUACUCGCUGAGCAGCAUGGUGACCGUGCCCUCGAGCAGCCGGCCCGUCACCUGCAACGUGGCCCACCCAGCCACCAACACCAAAGUGGACAAGACUGUUGCGCCCUCGACAUGCAGCAAGUCUCCAUGCCCACCCCCUGAACUCCUGGGGGGACCGUCUGUCUUCAUCUUCCCCCCGAAACCCAAGGACACCCUCAUGAUCUCACUCACCCCUGAGGUCACAUGUGUGGUGGUGGACGUGAGCCAGGAUGACCCCGAGGUGCAGUUCACAUGGUACAUAAACAACGAGCAGGUGCACACUGCCCGGCCGCCACUACGGGAACAGCAGUUCAACAGCACGAUCCGCGUGGUCAGCACCCUCCCCAUCGCGCACCAGGACUGGCUGAGGGGCAAGGAGUUCAAGUGCAAAGUCCACAACAAGGCACUCCCGUCCCCCAUCGAGAAAACCAUCUCCAAAGCCAAAGGGCAGGCCCUGGAGCCGAAGGUCUACACCAUGGGCCCUCCCCGAGAGGAGCUGAACAGCAGGUUGGUCAGCCUGACCUGCAUGAUCAACGGCUUCUACCCUUCCGACAUCUCAGUGGAGUGGGAGAAGAAUGGGAAGCCAGAGGACAACUACAAGACCACGCCAGCCGUGCUGGACAGAGACGGCUCCUACUUCCUCUACAGCAAGCUCUCAGUGCCCACGAGCGAGUGGCAGCGGGGCGAGCAAUACGCCUGCACCGUGAUGCACGAGGCCUUGCACAACCACUACACGCAGAAGUCCGUCUCCCACUCUCUGGGUAAAUGAGCGCUGUGCCGGCGAGCUGCCCCCACCCCUCCCCACGCUGCAGCUGUGCACCCCGCACACAAAUAAAGCACCCAGCUCUGCCCCAA